GAUAGCUGGUUCUCCCCGAAAUAGCUUUAGGGCUAGCCUCAGGGUUAGCUACUUGCUGGUAGAGCACUGAAUGAUAGAUGGCCGCGUCUAGCGGUACUGAUAUCAAUCAAACUCCGAAUAGUGAGAUAGUAUACCUGGGAGUCAGUCUGUGGGAGAUAAGUUCCAUGGACAAGAGGAAAAGAGUCCAGACCGCCAAAUAAGGUCCCAAAAUCUAUACUAAGUGUUAAAGGAUGUAGAGAUGCAUAGACAACUAGGAUGUUGGCUCAGAAGCAGCCAUCAUUUAAAGAGUGCGUAACAGCUCACUAGUCGAGUGCCUCCGCGCCGAAAAUUUACCGGGGCUAAGUAUAGUACCGAAGUUGCGGAUUUGAGAAAAUGGUAGGGGAGCGUUCCAUCAUCAGCGAAGCGAUACCGAAAGGAGUCGUGGAGAGGAUGGAAGUGAGAAUGCCGGUGUAAGUAACGAUAUUGGGUGAGAAUCCCAAUCACCAUUAGACUAAGGUUUCCUGGGGAAGGUUCGUCCACCCAGGGUAAGUCGGGACCUAAGGCGAGGCUGAGAAGCGUAGUCGAUGGACGACAGGUUGAUAUUCCUGUACCCGUAUAUAAGUGAAGUAAUGACAGAGAAGGCUAGAUCGGCUACCUACUGGAUGGUAGUACAAGCGAGAUAGCAGGUGCAAAGGCAAAUCCGUGCACAGAAUGCAAGGCGUGAAGUGGAGCGAACGAGCAAUCAAGUAGCGAAGCGAUUGAUGCCAGCUUUCAAGAAAAGUUGCUAACAUAAUUAUAUGCGGCCCGUACCGAGAACGGACACACGUGGUCAAGGAGAGUAUCCUAAGGUGAGCGAGUGAACUGUUGUUAAGGAACUCUGCAAAAUUACUUCGUAAGUUCGCAAGAAGAAGUGCUACAGCGAUGUAGCCGCAGUGAAGAGGCCCAAGUAACUGUUUAACAAAAACACAGCUUUAUGCUAAGUCGUAAGACGAUGUAUAUGAGGUGAUGCCUGCCCAGUGCUGGAAGGUUAAAAGGAGAUGUGGUUCGCAAGGAGAAGCAUUGAUCUGAAGCCCCAGUGAACGGCGGCCGUAACUAUAACGGUCCUAAGGUAGCGAAAUUCCUUGUCGGGUAAGUUCCGACGCGCAUGAAUGGUAUAAUAAUUUGGGCGCUGUCUCGACAGCAGACUCGGUGAAAUCUUAAUACCUGUGAACAUGCAGGUUACCCGCGACUAGACGGAAAGACCCCAUGGAGCUUUACUAUAGCUUAAUAUUGAAUAGUUGAAAAUCCUGUACAGGAUAGGUAGGAGACAAAGAAGUUUGUGCGUCAGCAUGAAUGGAGUCAACGGUGGGAUACUACUCUUGAUU
RNAcentral lists this ribosomal RNA (1343 nucleotides) under human gut metagenome. RNAcentral's name for it is "bacterial LSU rRNA". It matches the Rfam family "Bacterial large subunit ribosomal RNA", at positions 844 to 2211 of the family's 2925-position model. The record is from RNAcentral.